RNAcentral lists this ribosomal RNA (517 nucleotides) under uncultured bacterium. RNAcentral's name for it is "bacterial SSU rRNA". It matches the Rfam family "Bacterial small subunit ribosomal RNA", at positions 501 to 1016 of the family's 1533-position model. The record is from RNAcentral.
CUACGUGCCAGCAGCCGCGGUAAUACGUAGGUCCCGAGCGUUGUCCGGAUUUAUUGGGCGUAAAGCGAGCGCAGGCGGUUAGAUAAGUCUGAAGUUAAAGGCUGUGGCUUAACCAUAGUACGCUUUGGAAACUGUUUAACUUGAGUGCAAGAGGGGAGAGUGGAAUUCCAUGUGUAGCGGUGAAAUGCGUAGAUAUAUGGAGGAACACCGGUGGCGAAAACGGCUCUCUGGCUUGUAACUGACGCUGAGGCUCGAAAGCGUGGGGAGCAAACAGGAUUAGAUACCCUGGUAGUCCACGCCGUAAACGAUGAGUGCUAGGUGUUAGACCCUUUCCGGGGUUUAGUGCCGUAGCUAACGCAUUAAGCACUCCGCCUGGGGAGUACGACCGCAAGGUUGAAACUCAAAGGAAUUGACGGGGGCCCGCACAAGCGGUGGAGCAUGUGGUUUAAUUCGGAGCAACGCGAAGAACCUUACCAGGUCUUGACAUCCCUCUGACCGCUCUAGAGAUAGAGCUUUC